Molecule: ribosomal RNA, 464 nt
Filed under: uncultured bacterium
Lineage: Bacteria
Description: partial 16S ribosomal RNA
Rfam family: Bacterial small subunit ribosomal RNA
Source: RNAcentral
CUACGGGGGGCUGCAGUGGGGAAUAUUGCACAAUGGGCGCAAGCCUGAUGCAGCCAUGCCGCGUGUAUGAAGAAGGCCUUCGGGUUGUAAAGUACUUUCAGCGGGGAGGAAGGGAGUAAAGUUAAUACCUUUGCUCAUUGACGUUACCCGCAGAAGAAGCACCGGCUAACUCCGUGCCAGCAGCCGCGGUAAUACGGAGGGUGCAAGCGUUAAUCGGAAUUACUGGGCGUAAAGCGCACGCAGGCGGUUUGUUAAGUCAGAUGUGAAAUCCCCGGGCUCAACCUGGGAACUGCAUCUGAUACUGGCAAGCUUGAGUCUCGUAGAGGGGGGUAGAAUCACAGGUGUAGCGGUGAAAUGCGUAGAGAUCUGGAGGAAUACCGGUGGCGAAGGCGGCCCCCUGGACGAAGACUGACGCUCAGGUGCGAAAGCGUGGGGAGCAAACAGGAUUAGAUACCCCUGUAGUC